RNAcentral lists this unclassified non-coding RNA (358 nucleotides) under soil metagenome. RNAcentral's name for it is "partial contains 5.8S ribosomal RNA, internal transcribed spacer 2, and large subunit ribosomal RNA". The stretch from base 1 to 120 matches the Rfam family "5.8S ribosomal RNA", at positions 35 to 154 of the family's 154-position model. The record is from RNAcentral.
GAUGAAGAACGCAGCGAAAUGCGAUAAGUAAUGUGAAUUGCAGAAUUCAGUGAAUCAUCGAAUCUUUGAACGCACAUUGCGCCCGUCAGUAUUCUGGCGGGCAUGCCUGUUCGAGCGUCAUUACGCCCCUCAAGUCCCCUGUGGACUUGGUGUUGGGGAUCGGCGAGGCUGGUUUUCCAGCACAGCCGUCCCUAAAAUUAAUUGGCGGUCUCGCCGUGGCCCUCCUCUGCGCAGUAGUAAAACACUCGCAACAGGAGCCCGGCGCGGUCCACUGCCGUAAAACCCCCCAACUUUUUAUAGUUGACCUCGAAUCAGGUAGGACUACCCGCUGAACUUAAGCAUAUCAAUAAGCGGAGGA